This 20-nucleotide small nuclear RNA is filed under the name Arabidopsis thaliana (thale cress). RNAcentral describes it as "snRNA_15726". Lineage: Eukaryota; Viridiplantae; Streptophyta; Magnoliopsida; Brassicales; Brassicaceae. The record is from RNAcentral.
AGCUCCAAGUGGGCCAUUUU